UACAGAGGGUGCAAGCGUUAAUCGGAAUUACUGGGCGUAAAGCGUGCGUAGACGGUUACAUAAGUCGGGUGUGAAAGCCCCGGGCUCAACCUGGGAAUUGCAUUCGAGACUGCGUAGCUAGGGUGCGGAAGAGGGAAGCGGAAUUUCCGGUGUAGCGGUGGAAUGCGUAGAUAUCCGAAAGAACACCGGUGGCGAAGGCGGCGACCUGGGCCUGAACUGACGCUGAGGAGCGAAAGCUAGGGGAGCAAACGGG
RNAcentral lists this ribosomal RNA (253 nucleotides) under uncultured bacterium. RNAcentral describes it as "partial 16S ribosomal RNA". It matches the Rfam family "Bacterial small subunit ribosomal RNA", at positions 524 to 776 of the family's 1533-position model. The record is from RNAcentral.